UUAAGUGAAUAAGGGCGCACGGAGGAUGCCUUGGCACUAGGAGUCGAAGAAGGACGCGACAAACGGCGAAACGCCUCGGGGAGCUGUAAGUGAGCAUUGAUCCGGGGGUAUCCGAAUGGGGAAACCCGCUAGUGGUUAUACGCUAGCACCAUAUGGUGAAUACAUAGCCAUAUAGGAGACAGACCCAGGGAACUGAAACAUCUAAGUACCUGGAGGAAAAGAAAGAAAAAUCGAUUCCCGUAGUAGCGGCGAGCGAAGUGGGAAGAGCCCAAACCGGAUUUAUCCGGGGUUGUAGGACCUUCAUAAUUGACAAAUCAUGAUAGCCGAAUGGUCUGGGAAGGCCAACCGUAGGGGGUGAGAGUCCCGUAGGUGAAAUUGUGAGAUGCAUGGAAGGAAUCCUGAGUACGGCGGGACACGUGGAAUCCCGUCGGAAUCAACGAGGACCAUCUCGUAAGGCUAAAUACUACCUAGUGACCGAUAGUGAACCAGUACCGUGAGGGAAAGGUGAAAAGAACCCCGGAAGGGGAGUGAAAGAGAACCUGAAACCGUGUGCCUACAAAUAGUCAGAGCCCGUUAAUGGGUGAUGGCGUGCCUUUUGUAGAAUGAACCGGCGAGUUACGAUAUCGUGCGAGGUUAAGCAGAAGAUGCGGAGCCGUAGCGAAAGCGAGUCUGAAUAGGGCGAAGAGUACGAUGUUGUAGACCCGAAACCGUGUGAGCUAGCCAUGAGCAGGCUGAAGGUCAGGUAACACUGACUGGAGGGCCGAACCAGGGCACGUUGAAAAGUGCUUGGAUGACUUGUGGCUAGGGGUGAAAUUCCAAUCGAACACGGAUAUAGCUGGUUCUCUCCGAAAUAGCUUUAGGGCUAGCCUCGAUGUUAAGUCUACUGGAGGUAGAGCACUGAAUGGGUGAUGGCCCCACCUCGGGGUACUGAUCUCAAUCAAACUCCGAAUGCCAGAUAGAUAUAAUCGGGAGUCAGACUGUGGGUGAUAAGGUCCAUGGUCAAAAGGGAAAGAGCCCAGACCGCCAGCUAAGGCCCCCAAGUGUCCGUUAAGUGGAAAAGGAUGUGGAGAUGCACAGACAACUAGGAGGUUGGCUUAGAAGCAGCCAUCCUUUAAAGAGUGCGUAAUAGCUCACUAGUCGAGUGACUCUGCGCCGAAAAUGUACCGGGGCUAAACGGACCGCCGAAGCUGCGGAUUGACUUUAGAGUCAGUGGUAGGAGAGCGUUCUAACAGCGGUGAAGCAGUACCGGAAGGAGCUGUGGAGCGGUUAGAAGUGAGAAUGCCGGUGUGAGUAGCGAAAGAUAGGUGAGAAUCCUAUCCAUCGAAAGCCUAAGGUUUCCAGGGGAAGGCUCGUCCGCCCUGGGUAAGUCGGGACCUAAGGUGAGGCCGAAAGGCGUAGCCGAUGGACAACAGGUUGAUAUUCCUGUACCACUUAUUAAACUGAUGGAGUGACGGAGAAGGCUAAGUUGAGCGUGUGAUUGGAUUCACGUGUAAGCAGUGAGGUGGUCAUGUAGGCAAAUCCGCAUGGCAUAACAUUGAGCUGUGAUGCCGAAGCCGAAUGGCGAAGUCAACUGACGUCACGCUUCCAAGAAAAGCUUCUAGGGUUAAUUUAAUAAGUGCCCGUACCGAUAACCGACACAGGUAGGCGAGGAGAGAAUCCUAAGAUGAGCGAGAGAACUCUUGUUAAGGAACUCGGCAAAAUGACCCCGUAACUUCGGGAGAAGGGGUGCUUGUGAAAGCAAGCCGCAGUGAAUAGGCCCAGGCGACUGUUUAUCAAAAACACAGGUCUCUGCUAAACCGCAAGGUGAUGUAUAGGGGCUGACGCCUGCCCGGUGCUGGAAGGUUAAGAGGAGAGGUUAGCGCAAGCGAAGCUUUGAAUUGAAGCCCCAGUAAACGGCGGCCGUAACUAUAACGGUCCUAAGGUAGCGAAAUUCCUUGUCGGGUAAG
RNAcentral lists this ribosomal RNA (1946 nucleotides) under human gut metagenome. RNAcentral describes it as "bacterial LSU rRNA". It matches the Rfam family "Bacterial large subunit ribosomal RNA", at positions 1 to 1980 of the family's 2925-position model. The record is from RNAcentral.